CAGAGGGGGCAAGCGUUGUUCGGAAUUACUGGCGUAAAGGGCGCGUAGGCGGCCUUCUAAGUCGAACGUGAAAUCCCCGGGCUCAACCCGGGAACUGCGUCUGAUACUGGAAGGCUUGAAUCCGGGAGAGGGAUGCGGAAUUCCAGGUGUAGCGGUGAAAUGCGUAGAUAUCUGGAGGAACACCGGUGGCGAAGGCGGCAUCCUGGACCGGCAUUGACGCUGAGGCGCGAAAGCCAGGGGAGCAAACGGGAUUAGAUACCCCGGUAGUCCUGGCCCUAAACGAUGAAUGCUUGGUGUGGCGGGUAUCGAUCCCUGCCGUGCCGAAGCUAACGCAUUAAGCAUUCCGCCUGGGGAGUACGGUCGCAAGGCUG
This 371-nucleotide ribosomal RNA is filed under the name uncultured organism. Its description in RNAcentral is "bacterial SSU rRNA". It matches the Rfam family "Bacterial small subunit ribosomal RNA", at positions 526 to 896 of the family's 1533-position model. The record is from RNAcentral.